RNAcentral lists this transfer RNA (70 nucleotides) under Loxodonta africana (African savanna elephant). It matches the Rfam family "tRNA". Rfam says of the family: Transfer RNA (tRNA) molecules are approximately 80 nucleotides in length. Their secondary structure includes four short double-helical elements and three loops (D, anti-codon, and T loops). Further hydrogen bonds mediate the characteristic L-shaped molecular structure. tRNAs have two regions of fundamental functional importance: the anti-codon, which is responsible for specific mRNA codon recognition, and the 3' end, to which the tRNAs corresponding amino acid is attached (by aminoacyl-tRNA synthetases). tRNAs cope with the degeneracy of the genetic code in two manners: having more than one tRNA (with a specific anti-codon) for a particular amino acid; and 'wobble' base-pairing, i.e. permitting non-standard base-pairing at the 3rd anti-codon position. The record is from Rfam by way of RNAcentral. Lineage: Eukaryota; Metazoa; Chordata; Mammalia; Proboscidea; Elephantidae.
CCCUGCGUGGGAGAGUUAAUGCAUUUGGCUGCUAACCAAAAGGUUGGUGGUUUGAGUCCACUCAGAGGCA